AAGUGCGAAUGCUGACGUGAGUAACGACAAAACGGGUGAAAAACCCGUUCGCCGAAAGACCAAGGGUUCCAGUCCAACGUUAAUCGGGGCUGGGUGAGUCGACCCCUAAGGCGAGGCCGAAAGGCGUAGUCGAUGGGAAAAUGGUUAAUAUUCCAUUACUUCUGUGUAAUGCGAUGAGAGGACGGAGAAGGCUAAAUCAGCCUGGCGUUGGUUGUCCAGGUGAAAGGAUGUAGGCAUGUAUCUUAGGCAAAUCCGGGGUACUCUAUGCUGAGAUCUGAUAGCAAGCUGUACUUGUACAGCGAAGUGGUUGAUGCCAUGCUUCCAGGAAAAGUCUCUAAGCUUCAGUUACACAGGAAUCGUACCCGAAACCGACACAGGUGGUCAGGUCGAGUAGACCAAGGCGCUUGAGAGAACUCUGCUGAAGGAACUAGGCAAAAUGGUACCGUAACUUCGGGAGAAGGUACGCUGUUGUUGGUGAUGGAACUCGCUUCCUGAGCUGACGACAGCCGCAGAAACCAGGCCGCUGCAACUGUUUAUUAAAAACAUAGCACUCUGCAAACACGAAAGUGGACGUAUAGGGUGUGAUGCCUGCCCGGUGCUGGAAGGUUAAUUGAUGGGGUUAGCGUAAGCGAAGCUCUUGAUCGAAGCCCCAGUAAACGGCGGCCGUAACUAUAACGGUCCUAAGGUAGCGAAAUUCCUUGUCGGGUAAGUUCCGACCUGCACGAAUGGCAUAAUGAUGGCGGCGCUGUCUCCAGCAGAGGCUCAGUGAAAUCGAAAUCGCUGUGAAGAUGCAGUGUACCCGCGGCUAGACGGAAAGACCCCGUGAACCUUUACUGCAGCUUGACACUGAACUUUGACCUUACUUGUGUAGGAUAGGUGGGAGGCUUUGAAGCUGGAACGCUAGUUCCAGUGGAGCCGUCCUUGAAAUACCACCCUGGUAAUGUUGAGGUUCUAACUCUGUCCCGUGAUCCGGGACGAGGACCGUGUCUGGUGGGUAGUUUGACUGGGGCGGUCUCCUCCUAAAGAGUAACGGAGGAGUACGAAGGUGCGCUCAGCGUGGUCGGAAAUCACGCGUAGAGUAUAAAGGCAAAAGCGCGCUUAACUGCGAGACCCACAAGUCGAGCAGGUACGAAAGUAGGUCUUAGUGAUCCGGUGGUUCUGUAUGGAAGGGCCAUCGCUCAACGGAUAAAAGGUACUCUGGGGAUAACAGGCUGAUACCGCCCAAGAGUUCAUAUCGACGGCGGUGUUUGGCACCUCGAUGUCGGCUCAUCUCAUCCUGGGGCUGAAGCAGGUCCCAAGGGUAUGGCUGUUCGCCAUUUAAAGAGGUACGCGAGCUGGGUUUAGAACGUCGUGAGACAGUUCGGUCCCUAUCUACCGUGGGCGCUGGAAAUUUGAGAGGAUCUGCUCCUAGUACGAGAGGACCAGAGUGGACGAACCUCUGGUGUACCGGUUGUGACGCCAGUCGCAUCGCCGGGGAGCUAUGUUCGGAAGGGAUAACCGCUGAAAGCAUCUAAGCGGGAAGCCUACCUCAAGAUAAGAUUUCCCUAGGACUUUAUGUCCUCUAAAGAGCCGUUCGAGACUAGGACGUUGAUAGGUUGGAUGUGGAAGCAUAGUGAUAUGUGAAGCUGACCAAUACUAAUUGCUCGUGAGGCUUGACUAU
RNAcentral lists this ribosomal RNA (1660 nucleotides) under Acinetobacter baumannii 44467_6. RNAcentral describes it as "bacterial LSU rRNA". It matches the Rfam family "Bacterial large subunit ribosomal RNA", at positions 1286 to 2925 of the family's 2925-position model. The record is from RNAcentral. Lineage: Bacteria; Pseudomonadati; Pseudomonadota; Gammaproteobacteria; Moraxellales; Moraxellaceae.